RNAcentral lists this ribosomal RNA (497 nucleotides) under uncultured bacterium. RNAcentral describes it as "partial 16S ribosomal RNA". It matches the Rfam family "Bacterial small subunit ribosomal RNA", at positions 28 to 507 of the family's 1533-position model. The record is from RNAcentral.
GAUGAACGCUGGCGGCGUGCCUAAUACAUGCAAGUCGAGCGAACGGACGAGAAGCUUGCUUCUCUGAUGUUAGCGGCGGACGGGUGAGUAACACGUGGAUAACCUACCUAUAAGACUGGGAUAACUUCGGGAAACCGGAGCUAAUACCGGAUAAUAUUUUGAACCGCAUGGUUCAAAAGUGAAAGACGGUCUUGCUGUCACUUAUAGAUGGAUCCGCGCUGCAUUAGCUAGUUGGUAAGGUAACGGCUUACCAAGGCAACGAUGCAGAGCCGACCUGAGAGGGUGAUCGGCCACACUGGAACGGAGACACGGUCCAGACUCCUACGGGAGGCAGCAGUAGGGAAUCUUCCGCAAUGGGCGAAAGCCUGACGGAGCAACGCCGCGUGAGUGAUGAAGGUCUUCGGAUCGUAAAACUCUGUUAUUAGGGAAGAACAUAUGUGUAAGUAACUGUGCACAUCUUGACGGUACCUAAUCAGAAAGCCACGGCUAACUACGUG